AGCCGCAACUUAAAUUUGGACGGCUCUGCAAUUUUUAUUCACGAGUUGCAGCUGCAAUUUGGUCGCCUUUUUGCAGCUGCAAUUUUGUUCUUAUUUUUUGCAGCCGCAACUUAAAUUUGGCCAGCUCUACAAUUUCAAUUCUUGAGUUGAAGCUGAAAUCUGGUCCCCUCUGUAAUUUUAUGGUUAUUGGCAGCCGCAAUUUUGAUUUGUUUAAAUUGCAGCUGGAAUUUUCUUUUUAUUGUAGUUGCAACUUUAAUUUGGACGGCCCUGUCCUAGGUGCCCCUCAACAACAAAUGAUGUGCAACUCACCCCAAUUUAUAAAUUGGGCUCAUGACAAGCGGAAGUGUUAGGAGAAAUGAAAUUUAGAUAUACCUAUAAUCUUCUGACCGACAAGACUGAUGAGAUAUGGAGCAGUGGAACCCUAGGGAACCAAAUAUCCCGUUCUUUCUCAAAAGAUGAAAUUCCAAGAAUAAGAAUCAAGUUCUGCAACCAGCUCUUCUUCUGUGCUGCAAACAUAAUUGAACAAUCAAAAUUCUUGGUUCAAAAUCUCAACUCAUCAGUAAGUUGUACUUGCCUUUGAUUUUUUUUCUUACAAUUACUUGAAUUUUAGGCGUCUAGUGGUUAUUAAUUUUUCAUUGUACGUUUUUUGUUUCUAAACCGGCUGUACAUUCAAGGCUGAUUGCCGGGAAGAAGUGGCGCUCUUCGUGCACAAGGAUGUGAUGCAAUAAAAUAGAUACAAGAGCUGUACUUCUUUCUGUAGAAACAUACUAGGUCUUUUGUACUACAGAUACGUGCAGCUGUUGUAUGUUUCUUUUUGUGCGCUGAACAACGCGAACUUGUGUUUCGUCGUGUGUGUUUUUUCCUAUGAGUUUAUAAAUUCAUAGCGCAAAAACAUAUUACAUGGGACA
This is a long non-coding RNA of Brachypodium distachyon (stiff brome), 908 nucleotides long. RefSeq lists it as uncharacterized. The transcript has 2 exons. The record is from RefSeq and is a predicted model, not a curated record. NCBI's taxonomy places the organism in Eukaryota, Viridiplantae, Streptophyta, Magnoliopsida, Poales, Poaceae.